This 161-nucleotide ribosomal RNA is filed under the name uncultured bacterium. RNAcentral's name for it is "partial 16S ribosomal RNA". It matches the Rfam family "Bacterial small subunit ribosomal RNA", at positions 1342 to 1500 of the family's 1533-position model. The record is from RNAcentral.
UCGCGCAUCAGCCAUGGCGCGGUGAAUACGUUCCCGGGCCUUGUACACACCGCCCGUCAAGUCAUGAAAGUGGGCAGCACCCGAAGACGGUGGCCUAACCCUUGUGGGGGGAGCCGUCUAAGGUGAGGCUCGUGAUUGGGACUAAGUCGUAACAAGGUAUC